Molecule: ribosomal RNA, 489 nt
Filed under: uncultured bacterium
Lineage: Bacteria
Description: partial 16S ribosomal RNA
Rfam family: Bacterial small subunit ribosomal RNA
Source: RNAcentral
GAUGAACGCUCGCUACAGGCUUAACACAUGCAAGUCGCGGGGCAGCAUGGGGGUUGCUUGCAAUCCCCGAUGGCGACCGGCGCACGGGUGAGUAACGCGUAUCCAACCUGCCCUUCACCACGGGAUAACCCGGCGAAAGUCGGACUAAUACCGUAUGUUGUCCAUUGACGGCAUCCGAUUCGGACGAAAGGCUUGGCGGUGAGGGAUGGGGAUGCGUCCGAUUAGCCAGACGGCGGGGUAACGGCCCACCGUGGCUACGAUCGGUAGGGGUUCUGAGAGGAAGGUCCCCCACACUGGAACUGAGACACGGUCCAGACUCCUACGGGAGGCAGCAGUGAGGAAUAUUGGUCAAUGGGCGUAAGCCUGAACCAGCCAAGUAGCGUGCAGGAUGACGGCCCUAUGGGUUGUAAACUGCUUUUAUGCGGGGAUAAAGUGGCCCACGUGGGGCUUUUGCAGGUACCGCAUGAAUAAGGACCGGCUAAGUCCGUG